This 279-nucleotide ribosomal RNA is filed under the name uncultured bacterium. RNAcentral describes it as "partial 16S ribosomal RNA". It matches the Rfam family "Bacterial small subunit ribosomal RNA", at positions 506 to 784 of the family's 1533-position model. The record is from RNAcentral.
UGCCAGCAGCCGCGGUAACACGGGGGGCGCAAGCGUUAUUCGGAAUUAUUGGGCGUAAAGGGUUCGUAGGUUUUUUUCAAAGUUAAACUUCAAAGACCUAGGCUUAACUUAGGUUUAUAGUUUAAUACUUUUAAAAUAGAGUAUAGUAGAGGGUAAUAGAAUUCCUAAUGUAAAGAUAAAAUUUUUCAAUAUUAGGAGGAAUUUCAGAGGCGAAGGCGAUUACCUGGGCUAAUACUGACACUGAGGAACGAAAGCUUAGGUAGCAAACGGGAUUAGAUA